RNAcentral lists this ribosomal RNA (1657 nucleotides) under Yersinia enterocolitica. Its description in RNAcentral is "partial 23S ribosomal RNA". It matches the Rfam family "Bacterial large subunit ribosomal RNA", at positions 1292 to 2925 of the family's 2925-position model. Lineage: Bacteria; Pseudomonadati; Pseudomonadota; Gammaproteobacteria; Enterobacterales; Yersiniaceae. The record is from RNAcentral.
GAAUGCUGACAUAAGUAACGAUAAUGCGGGUGAAAAACCCGCACGCCGGAAGACCAAGGGUUCCUGUCCAACGUUAAUCGGGGCAGGGUGAGUCGACCCCUAAGGCGAGGCUGAAAAGCGUAGUCGAUGGGAAACAGGUUAAUAUUCCUGUACUUGGUGUUACUGCGAAGGGGGGACGGAGAAGGCUAGGCUAGCCGGGCGACGGUUGUCCCGGUUUAAGCAUGUAGGCGGAGUGACCAGGUAAAUCCGGUUGCUUAUCAACGCUGAGGUGUGAUGACGAUGCACUACGGUGCAGAAGUAGUUGAUGCCAUGCUUCCAGGAAAAGCCUCUAAGCAUCAGGUAACAUGAAAUCGUACCCCAAACCGACACAGGUGGUCAGGUAGAGAAUACUCAGGCGCUUGAGAGAACUCGGGUGAAGGAACUAGGCAAAAUGGUGCCGUAACUUCGGGAGAAGGCACGCUGGCAUUAGGUAAAGGGACUUGCUCCCGGCGCCGAAGCCAGUCGCAGAUACCAGCUGGCUGCAACUGUUUAAUAAAAACACAGCACUGUGCAAACACGAAAGUGGACGUAUACGGUGUGACGCCUGCCCGGUGCUGGAAGGUUAAUUGAUGGGGUCAGCCGCAAGGCGAAGCUCUUGAUCGAAGCCCCAGUAAACGGCGGCCGUAACUAUAACGGUCCUAAGGUAGCGAAAUUCCUUGUCGGGUAAGUUCCGACCUGCACGAAUGGCGUAAUGAUGGCCAGGCUGUCUCCACCCGAGACUCAGUGAAAUUGAACUCGCUGUGAAGAUGCAGUGUACCCGCGGCAAGACGGAAAGACCCCGUGAACCUUUACUAUAGCUUGACACUGAACAUUGAGCCUUGAUGUGUAGGAUAGGUGGGAGGCAUAGAAGUGUGGACGCCAGUCUGCAUGGAGCCAACCUUGAAAUACCACCCUUUAAUGUUUGAUGUUCUAACUCGGCCCCGUAAUCCGGGGUGAGGACAGUGUCUGGUGGGUAGUUUGACUGGGGCGGUCUCCUCCCAAAGAGUAACGGAGGAGCACGAAGGUUAGCUAAUCACGGUCGGACAUCGUGAGGUUAGUGCAAAGGCAUAAGCUAGCUUGACUGCGAGAGUGACGGCUCGAGCAGGUACGAAAGUAGGUCUUAGUGAUCCGGUGGUUCUGAAUGGAAGGGCCAUCGCUCAACGGAUAAAAGGUACUCCGGGGAUAACAGGCUGAUACCGCCCAAGAGUUCAUAUCGACGGCGGUGUUUGGCACCUCGAUGUCGGCUCAUCACAUCCUGGGGCUGAAGUAGGUCCCAAGGGUAUGGCUGUUCGCCAUUUAAAGUGGUACGCGAGCUGGGUUUAGAACGUCGUGAGACAGUUCGGUCCCUAUCUGCCGUGGGCGUUGGAAGAUUGAGAGGGGCUGCUCCUAGUACGAGAGGACCGGAGUGGACGAAUCACUGGUGUUCGGGUUGUCAUGCCAAUGGCAUUGCCCGGUAGCUAAAUUCGGAAGAGAUAACCGCUGAAAGCAUCUAAGCGGGAAACUUGCCUCGAGAUGAGUCUUCCCUGGGGCUUUAAGCCCCCUGAAGGAACGUUAAAGACGAUGACGUUGAUAGGCUGGGUGUGUAAGUGCAGCGAUGCAUUGAGCUAACCAGUACUAAUGAACCGUGAGGCUUAACCUU